AAUGAUGCAUAAUGGGCUAUUUCCCAUUUAGAAUUAGUGAUGUGUCAAUGUGCAUCUUGCUUUAAUGUUGCAGCAGAAAAAGUAGAUCUAAUCUCAAACCCGUUAAAAUGUUACCACUGAAAUAUAGUUGACCGUAGUAUUUCUUAUAUUUACUGAAGCAAUAAGGCUGAGUACUUCUCUCCUCUAAGGGAGUAACAGGUAUAAUAGGAAUCACUUUAAAUACAUUGGUGGUCCAACACUGCCCCCUACUGGCCCAGUCUUUACCUGCACGGUGCUAACGAAACGUUAGCAAACGUUAAUUAACGCGCUAACCGAGAAUUUGGCGUUUGUCUGUACUUCGUAGAGUGGAAAUACGAAGCAAGUUUUACAAAGCAGUGACGGUCAAACAGUUUGCGUUAGCUGCUAAUAUGUAGCCGCAAGCUCCAUUACAUUAACGUUAGCUAACUUAGCUAAAAUACACCGAAGCUAAUGGUUAGCGAGCUAGCAUUACAAGCAUUACCUGCGAUAGGCGGAAGUCAGUUGGAACAGCAACAGUUUCAUUAAAUAUUUAAUAUCUAGGAUACCGUCGUCAGAAGAGUUAUGGACGUCAAACUAUCUCCGGAGAAAGAGGGAGAAUUUGGGCUUAACUCCGAUUGGUCCAAAGUAAAGUAAGCUAAAGUUCAGCGAGUCACCACUAGAGGGCGCCAUUUGCACAUCUAAUAUAAGAGUACGAUUUUAAAUAAGAUGAGUUAAAGACACAGAUAAAAGUAUAUAUCUUAUAAGGACAUGUUAAGUGUUAUAUACAUUCUAAUGAAACUACGUUAGAUCAUCUAACUGAGAGAUCCUUGUGUGAUGGCCUUCACUCUCCCGGCUUUCUGACCUGCAGGUCGCCUGUCCGCCCCCUUUCGUGUGUAACAGUCUGUGUUUGGUGCGGGUAAAGGAUUCGGGUAAGUGACGGAGGAGGUUAAGGACAAAUCCAGGGGAGGGUGGAUGUUGAUCUCAGUGAGCAGUCGUUGAGCUCUCGGUUGUCAUCUGUACUCCGUGCUGCCAAGCUGUGUCACGGUGUUCCUGUAGGCCGCCUCACCACUGUCCCGGGAGGCCCGGGACCCUCGGAGUCAGCGGAGGACUUGGACCCAAGCGUGGCAGCGGACGGGGCCAUUGGCGCAGAUUUGGGGAGAGGACAUAACCUUGUGGAGUUCACCCGUGUCUGUGGCGACGUGCCGGCCCGGGGGGCCGGCGGGGCACCCAGGCGCUGAACUAUGGACGCGUUGGAGGCCCGAGGUUAGCGGCGGCGUCCCCACAGCCGCGGUUGGUUCUGUAAGCCAGGAGGUGGUCUGUGAUUGGUUUGAGGAAGGAUGAUGAUGAAGAAUGGCGAGCUGACUGCUCAUGUGAACGACCAUUGAUGUAUGAGCCCCCGGGGUCCGAGUCUCUGUCGGUUUCUCUUUCGCUCAUACCUUAGCGGAGAGGCCCGAUUGCCACGGACACUCUAUAGAAUAAAUUGAGCAGGAUGAAUGACGUGGAAUAUUACUGAUGACAAGUCUGCUUGUCUCUCGGUGAGAUUACACCUGUGGUAAGUGGAAGGGCCCGAGGAGGAUGAGAGUCAUGCUGACAUCCUGUUGUGCUUAAAGGAGAAGUACUGAAUCUUUCAAACCGAUCACAAUACCGACGUGCUUUUAUGUAUAUUGAAUGAUUUAUUCGCGCUGUGGCGAGCCCGGGAUGCCAAUGCAAGAGACGAGAUCCACAUGUACAAAUGUACUGUGGAAUUUAGCCAACGCUAAAAUGAGGCUUUCAGGAUGUUUUCCCCCCCAUCUCUUAAAUUACUCUCACAUUUGUUUGCAAUGUGUAUUUUUGGUGAGCAUAGACAGCAGGAAUAACAACUAUGUACUACUGACUCUUUCAAAAUAUUUGCAGCCAUGUGGUUAUCUCAAUCAAUCUGUGAUCUGCAGUCAAUCUGUAAAAUAAUUCAGUAACUCAUCAUCCAUUUCCAGACAGUGUGAGCUUGUGAAGCUGUGUUUAUUCUUACAGUGCAUCUGUGCACGGCUGGACGGUCACUGCAGAAAGCAGCCGUGACGUAAAGUUGAAAAGCAUUUGUCAGCUCAACCCAAGGUCUGACAGCUAUCCAGCGUCCUCCAUGGACUCUCAUGCAAUUGAUUUUUCUUAAUCUGCAGGCUUGUUGUGUGGAUUUGGAGAUUAUAGUCAUUCAAAAUAAGACUUCUACCGUUUGAUGGAGUAGCAACAGGGGGCGGGGCUUACUGACGGGUUCAAAUCGCUGAACAUCCGACAACAGCUUUGCACCCCAGUGAGUCAAACACGCGCUAGACCGCCCUGCACUUUGCAUACUAGGAACACACUGAAGUGGACGAACCUCUACAUGCUCAGACGUGCUUACGUAAGGAUCCCCUCUUUUUGAUUCUUCAAGUGCAUUUAAGAGCAUCCAGCUUGAGGGGAUGUUGGUGAAUCCGUCCUUUGCUUCCUUAAUUACCCGGACAGGGAGACCACAGCUCGUCAGGAUGGAAAACCGUGUCCCUGGGACCCCGGAGGGGAACUGGUUUGGUUCCCCUUCUACUGAUGUUGUCCACAGUAGGCCUUAAGUACAACUCUGAAUCCAGAAGAUCACACAGGGUUCUGAACAAGGCCUUCGACACGCGCCCACUGAACACCUCCAAGAGGACACGGUGGUCUGAGGCCCCUCUUCAGCCAGUCAACGUUCGAGGAGGGGACAUUGAGGUGGUUGUAUGCUGCGGUCUGCUGGAGAGGAGGCUUGACAGACAAGGACACGGGGGGCCGGAUAAGCUGGUGAAAAGGGCUGGCUCGGUGCUUGGCAGGAGUCUGGACCCACUGGGGAUUGUGCUGGAAAUAUGCAUGUGGAAUAAGGUGGCGGCGUCCUAGACAAGGUCAGUCAUCCCCACUACAGCACCCCGGCAGGCCGGAGGAAGGGCGGAGGAAGGGCGGAGGAGGGGCGGAGGACAGCCGGAGGAAGCGGCGGCUGUGAUCGGUUCACGUGAUCGUUUUCUCUCCAUAUAGCCAGCAGGCUCUACAUCACUCCCCCCCCCCCCUGUACCCUAAUACUAAUUUAUUAGCACACUUGAUCUAUUUACAUAUUCAUAUACUUUUCUUCUUUAAGUCAUCUAAUCUGUAUUGAUAUGGAAAUUCGGACUGUUUGAGCUACUGGACACUGAAAUAUUCCACAAGGGCAUCAAUAAUCUGUCUCGGCCUUGAGACUGCAGAGGAGACCGCCCUCAAGCAUUAUUACCCAGACGCAGGGGGAUCUAUACGUUGAAUCUGUUCCGGCCGCGGAGCAGUGAACCGACAGCUUGUCCUCACACAGAUAACAGAGACGUCUGGAGAAUUCGAUAAUCCUUCGGAAAUGUGUUUUGUGGAUUCAGAAAAUGGCAUAACACCCCUUUUUUCCCCCUGAGGUUUCCUGUCUGAGAGCGAGAGGCGCCGGGGUCAGUGCUGUCGGCCUCUGAGGGGGAAAGCUGUGUUCACUCAUCCCACAUCAAGUCACCCCCUAAACCCGGGAGUCCCCCCGUGGGCCUUCUGAGGGAAGUUGGAGAUAGUUUCCGGGGGGAGUCCGUGCACGGGCGGAUUACGGGACAAUGUCCUCCUGGGCCCCGACGUGCAGAAGACCCCACCAGUGAGAGCGGGACACGCAGACUUCAUGGUGGUUUUGUCUCUUUGUGGUCAAUUUGGGGUUAUUUUGCCUUCAUAUGCAGUUUUUUUUGUCGUUGACCUCUAUUAAGUCAUUCUGAGCAUUGAGUGUCUUUGAAGUCAUUUUUUGUCCCUUAGUUUAAGAUUAGAUUAGAUUCAACGUACUAUGCACAGGAUAAAAUAUACAUGGAGCAGAAUGUAUGAAUAAAUAAACAAUAUAUACAGUAUUA
This is a long non-coding RNA of Gasterosteus aculeatus aculeatus (three-spined stickleback), 3860 nucleotides long. RefSeq lists it as uncharacterized. Lineage: Eukaryota; Metazoa; Chordata; Actinopteri; Perciformes; Gasterosteidae. The record is from RefSeq and is a predicted model, not a curated record.